This is a long non-coding RNA of Lycium barbarum (goji berry), 541 nucleotides long. RefSeq lists it as uncharacterized. NCBI's taxonomy places the organism in Eukaryota, Viridiplantae, Streptophyta, Magnoliopsida, Solanales, Solanaceae. The transcript has 3 exons. The record is from RefSeq and is a predicted model, not a curated record.
AAAAACAAAUAAAAAUAAAUAAAUAAUGGGAGCUUUAAUUCUAAAACCUAACUCCAUCUUCAAAAAUCCCCAAAUCCGGCUUCAUUGAGAAAACUAUCACGCCAGAGACCACCGAGAGAAGUUGAAGUCUGGCCAGAGACUAUCACGGGCGGUCCUUCUGAUAUUUAAGGAGUAACAGAUACUUCACAAAGGUUCUCUGGUAAUUGAUAGCAAAUCUGCUUGUCUUGUUGACCUGGAUAUAUUCCCUGAAGACGUACAACGGGGGACAGAUUCAUGAGAACUGUGAUAUUACAGUACAUUUUACAGGAUUUUGGAGGGUUCAGCUUACAAGUCAAGAUGCAAUUUUUUUUGAAGAUUUCGAACAAGUUGACAAAUUGGUUAUCUUUUUUCAAACUGUUAGACGAAUCGUUAUAGUAUUAUUACUAGUGAUGUUAGCCUUUGUAGGCUAAUGAGUAGUGUAAAUAGUAUGACUUUUGUAUUUUUGUAUACAAUGGCAUUGUUAAUUUCAAUUUUUAAUUAAUACUAGUGAUGACUUUGUUUA